CCUACGGGCGGCAGCAGUGAGGAAUAUUGGUCAAUGGACGAGAGUCUGAACCAGCCAAGUAGCGUGAAGGAUGACUGCCCUAUGGGUUGUAAACUUCUUUUAUAUGGGAAUAAAAUGUUCCACGUGUGGGAUUUUGUAUGUACCAUAUGAAUAAGGAUCGGCUAACUCCGUGCCAGCAGCCGCGGUAAUACGGAGGAUCCGAGCGUUAUCCGGAUUUAUUGGGUUUAAAGGGAGCGUAGGUGGAUUGUUAAGUCAGUUGUGAAAGUUUGCGGCUCAACCAUAAAAUUGCAGUUGAAACUGGCAGUCUUGAGUACAGUAGAGGUGGGCGGAAUUCGUGGUGUAGCGGUGAAAUGCUUAGAUAUCACGAAGAACUCCGAUUGCGAAGGCAGUUCACUGGACUGCAACUGACACUGAGGCUCGAAAGUGUGGGUAUCAAACAGGAUUAGAUACCCCUGUAGUC
RNAcentral lists this ribosomal RNA (460 nucleotides) under uncultured bacterium. RNAcentral's name for it is "partial 16S ribosomal RNA". It matches the Rfam family "Bacterial small subunit ribosomal RNA", at positions 338 to 795 of the family's 1533-position model. The record is from RNAcentral.